This 72-nucleotide transfer RNA is filed under the name Sphaerodactylus townsendi. Its description in RNAcentral is "tRNA-Thr". It matches the Rfam family "tRNA". Rfam says of the family: Transfer RNA (tRNA) molecules are approximately 80 nucleotides in length. Their secondary structure includes four short double-helical elements and three loops (D, anti-codon, and T loops). Lineage: Eukaryota; Metazoa; Chordata; Lepidosauria; Squamata; Sphaerodactylidae. The record is from RNAcentral.
GGAGCUGUGGCUCAGUGGCAAAGUAUCUGCUUGGUAUGCAGAAGAUCACAGGAUCAAUCCCCAGCAUCUCCA